GGUUGACCUCGGAUCAGGUAGGGAUACCCGCUGAACUUAAGCAUAUCAAUAAGCGGAGGAAAAGAAACCAACAGGGAUUGCCUCAGUAACGGCGAGUGAAGCGGCAACAGCUCAAAUUUGAAAUCUGGCCGUUCGGCGGUCCGAGUUGUAAUUUGUAGAGGAUGCUUCGGGUGCGGCGCCGGUCUAAGUUCCUUGGAACAGGACGUCAUAGAGGGUGAGAAUCCCGUAUGUGACCGGCGACCUGGCCCGUGUGAAGCUCCUUCAACGAGUCGAGUUGUUUGGGAAUGCAGCUCUAAGCGGGUGGUAAAUUUCAUCUAAAGCUAAAUACCGGCCAGAGACCGAUAGCGCACAAGUAGAGUGAUCGAAAGAUGAAAAGCACUUUGGAAAGAGAGUUAAAAAGUACGUGAAAUUGUUGAAAGGGAAGCGCUUGCGACCAGACUUGCUCACGGGCGAUCAGCCGUCCUUCUGGGCGGUGCACUCGCCGGUGAUCAGGCCAGCAUCGGUUCAGGCGGCCGGAUAAAGGCCCCGGGAACGUGGCUCCCCUCGGGGAGUGUUAUAGCCCGGGGUGCAAUGCGGCCCGCCGGGACCGAGGACCGCGCUUCGGCUAGGAUGCUGGCGUAAUGGUCGUAAGCGACCCGUCUUGAAACACGGACCAAGGAGUCUAACAUCUGUGCGAGUGUUUGGGUGUCAAACCCAUGCGCGGAAUGAAAGUGAACGGAGGUGGGAACCCUUCAGGGUGCACCAUCGACCGAUCCUGAUGUCUUCGGAUGGAUUUGAGUAAGAGCAUAGCUGUUGGGACCCGAAAGAUGGUGAACUAUGCCUGAAUAGGGUGAAGCCAGAGGAAACUCUGGUGGAGGCUCGCAGCGGUUCUGACGUGCAAAUCGAUCGUCAAAUUUGGGUAUAGGGGCGAAAGACUAAUCGAACCAUCUAGUAGCUGGUUCCUGCC
This 946-nucleotide ribosomal RNA is filed under the name Umbilicaria antarctica. RNAcentral's name for it is "eukaryotic LSU rRNA". It matches the Rfam family "Eukaryotic large subunit ribosomal RNA", at positions 1 to 962 of the family's 3401-position model. The record is from RNAcentral. Lineage: Eukaryota; Fungi; Ascomycota; Lecanoromycetes; Umbilicariales; Umbilicariaceae.